This 388-nucleotide ribosomal RNA is filed under the name Polykrikos sp. Its description in RNAcentral is "partial small subunit ribosomal RNA". It matches the Rfam family "Eukaryotic small subunit ribosomal RNA", at positions 583 to 975 of the family's 1831-position model. Lineage: Eukaryota; Dinophyceae; Gymnodiniales; Gymnodiniaceae. The record is from RNAcentral.
UUCCAGCUCCAAUAGCGUCUAUUAAAGUUGUUGCGGUUACAAGCCUCGUAGUUGGAUUUCUGCUAGGGACGAUCGGUCCACCCAUUGGAUGUGCAUCUGCGUCGGCCUUGGCAUCUUCUUGGCGAGCGCAACUGCACUUGACUGUGUGGUGCGGUAUCCAGGACUUUUACUUUGAGGAAAUUAGAGUGUUUCAAGCAGGCGCACGCCUUGAAUACAUUAGCAUGGAAUAAUAAGAUAGGGCCCGAUAUAUAUUUUGUUGGUUUCUGGGGCUGAGGUAAUGAUUAAUAGGGGUAGUUGGGGGCAUUCGCAUUUAACAGUCAAAGGUGAAAUUCUUGGAUUUGUUAAAGACGGACUACUGCGAAAGCAUUUGCCAAGAAUGCUUUCAUUA